This 700-nucleotide ribosomal RNA is filed under the name uncultured bacterium. Its description in RNAcentral is "bacterial SSU rRNA". It matches the Rfam family "Bacterial small subunit ribosomal RNA", at positions 94 to 828 of the family's 1533-position model. The record is from RNAcentral.
AGUGGCGGACGGGUGAGUAACGCGUGAGAAUCUGCCUUCAGGUCGGGGACAACAGUUGGAAACGACUGCUAAUACCCGAUGUGCAGCAAUGUGAAAGAUUUAUUGCCUGAAGAUGAGCUCGCGUCUGAUUAGCUAGUAGGUGUGGUAAUGGCGCACCUAGGCGACGAUCAGUAACUGGUCUGAGAGGAUGACCAGUCACACUGGGACUGAGACACGGCCCAGACUCCUACGGGAGGCAGCAGUGGGGAAUUUUCCGCAAUGGGCGAAAGCCUGACGGAGCAAUACCGCGUGAGGGACGACGGCUUUUGGGUUGUAAACCUCUUUUCCCUGGGAAGAAGAUCUGACGGUACCAGGGGAAUCAGCAUCGGCUAACUUCGUGCCAGCAGCCGCGGUAAUACGAGGGAUGCAAGCGUUAUCCGGAACUAUUGGGCGUAAAGCGUCCGCAGGUGGCUCUGUAAGUCUGUCGUUAAAGAAUGGAGCUUAACUCCAUACAGGCGAUGGAAACUACAAGGCUAGAGUUUGGUAGGGGUCACGGGAAUUCUUAGUGUAGCGGUGAAAUGCGUAGAUAUUAAGAAGAACACCAGCGGCGAAAGCGCGUGACUGGGCCAGUACUGACACUCAUGGACGAAAGCUAGGGGAGCGAAAGGGAUUAGAUACCCCUGUAGUCCUAGCCGUAAACGAUGAUAACUAGGUGUUGCUC